Selaginella moellendorffii is the source of this 358-nucleotide long non-coding RNA. RefSeq lists it as uncharacterized. Lineage: Eukaryota; Viridiplantae; Streptophyta; Lycopodiopsida; Selaginellales; Selaginellaceae. The record is from RefSeq and is a predicted model, not a curated record. The transcript is spliced from 3 exons.
UAGCAGCGGGAGGCGAGCAUGUUGUCAUCUUCCAGUGCAGCCAAGGAUUGCAGGUUUCGGUGGUGCUGGUUCCAAUUCAGGUCGCGGCUGCGUUCCCUGUUGCUGGGCUCUGAAUUGAAAUCAGCGCCCUUGAAACUUUGCGAUCCACACGGGGAAAAUCCAUCGGUGCUAUUUUCUCUCGAUGUCUUUGCACUGGAACAAAUACGUUACAACGCGUGAGGCAAGACGUUCGUCGUGGAUCAAUCAGGUACUAGGUUUUUUUAUUUGGCGCUCAAAGCGUUAACUAUAGUGGCAAAAAGUACUAUGUUUACAUCUUUUACAAGCAGUGUUAGCUGGCCUGAAAUCUUCGCUCCUAAUA